This 873-nucleotide long non-coding RNA is filed under the name Pogona vitticeps (central bearded dragon). RNAcentral describes it as "lncRNA (ENSPVIG00000019535.1)". The record is from RNAcentral. Lineage: Eukaryota; Metazoa; Chordata; Lepidosauria; Squamata; Agamidae.
CCGGAAGAUGUGCUGGCGAGUCAAGAGGAGCUGCAAGGCCGCCUUUGGCAAACCUUCUCGCAGAUGGAGCAGGAGCUGGUGAAGCUGGUGACCCUGGUCCGGAGCCGUAAAGCGCGGCUGGCAGCGCGCCACCGCAGCUGCAAGGCCUCGGAGUGCCAGGAGGACAAAGAGAGCACUCUCAAGCCUUUCAACCUGGCAGUGUAUGAUAUUGUUGAGGAGGAUUAAGGGCCAUCAUCAUCUCUGGGGCCCGCUACGGAGAGAACGAGAGAAGGAAUAAAGCUGCCAGCAGAGCAAGUGGCGGUUGAGUUGUGGAGCGAUGAUUUGCUUUCCGAUUACGGGGAUGAUCAGAACAGCACGCCUCCGUUUGGGAGAGCAAUCCCACUGGAGCUCAGAAAUAUUCCUUUGGUGGACUACAAGACCCAGAAUCCCCCAACCAGCACCUUCACGGAGAAAGGAGGGGUUUCUGGAUGUGUAGUCCAGCAAAAGCAAAUUUUCCAACCUCCGAAUCCCAUCUGCAUACUAAGAAUGUCAGAAACCAGGUUGCGAACUGUGACAUGUGCUUGAUCCAUAGGCCUUCCCUUCCCAGACGGGGCUGCCCCAUGAAAGCCAGUCUGAAGUCCUUGGAGCGCAUGGAGCAGGACCUGGUGGCUUUGCUCUUCAAGCUUCGCAAGCACAAGUCCUCCUUGGCCAGAGGCUGGUCUUCGGACGACCAGGCAACCACGACUGGGCAGGGCGGCCUUCCCAACGAUGUGGUGAUCUACACGAUCCAGGACGAGACCUAGACCAUGUUUGGGAAAGGCCAACGCCAGAAGGAGAACUCCAGGAGGAACGUGGGAAGCAUGGGGAAUAAAAAUGUUAUGAGUGAAUUUAGCA